CCUUGUUCCAGUUAUAUUAACUCUUCAGUUAUGCUGACAAGUCACCCUCCCUCCUAUCUUGUGGCUUUUAUGUGUGCCAUCUCCUCUGACCAGUUCCUGCCUGAGGUCAUUGAGACUUCAGCAGAGGUCAUGUCCUUAAGGACUUAUCUUCUACACAUCAGGCUAAAUCCAGCCAUUUUGCAUACAUUUUCAAUGUACAUCAGACUUCCAAAGAAUUCAUCACAACGUUCAGACUAAACCCUAGAAAUUCUGCUCUUUUCACCAAAACAGCACAGACAGCAGGGGCUGAGACAGAGUCUGCAGAAUGCAUCUGCAUGGCUUCAAGACCAUCACCUUCUCUCCAACCUGCACACGCUGUGGUUGUCACCGCAAUCGACCCCGCUGUAGUAGGAACCACUCAUGUCGGUGUCGGCACUAUUGUUUGUCUGAGUUAUUUGUGUGGUGGGAAAAUCACCAGGUUGAAUGUUCUGGUAGAGUCAGGGAUGUGUGCUUAACGGAUAUAUAUUAAUAAGAAUGAUAAAAUAUGGCAAGAGGAAAACUUGGGGGAUUGUGUUCAGGCCUUUAUUUUGUAACCUAGCUGCAGAGAUGGUUAUGUAUCUAGCCCAAGGACCCUGACCUGAAAAGUGGCAGAAAACUAAAGGCAACAAUGAAGUUUAUAUUUUUAUUGUUCUAUGCUUUGCUUUCCCUCUGUGGUAAGUGAACGAAUAAGACAGAGUAACUUAUUUCUGAAAAAUGAAUUAUGUCCACUCUAAACUCCUUCUAAGGUUUGAGGAUGUCUAGUUGACAUACAGGUGUUAAGUUCUUCAUUAAUGUGAAGCAAGUUUUAAUCCUGAAGGAAAAGUGAGUAAUGAGUGCCACUUAUUUUCAUGCUCCCCCCA
This 878-nucleotide long non-coding RNA is filed under the name Fukomys damarensis (Damara mole-rat). RNAcentral describes it as "lncRNA (ENSFDAG00000029610.1)". Lineage: Eukaryota; Metazoa; Chordata; Mammalia; Rodentia; Bathyergidae. The record is from RNAcentral.